Molecule: unclassified non-coding RNA, 480 nt
Filed under: Hevea brasiliensis (rubber tree)
Lineage: Eukaryota; Viridiplantae; Streptophyta; Magnoliopsida; Malpighiales; Euphorbiaceae
Source: RNAcentral
CAAAAUUUCACAAGGAUGGUUAAAAACCCACUUCGCAAUUCGCAUUUCUUCACGAGUCACCCAAGCUUUUCCAGUUCAAAAGUUCACAUUAAUCAGUAAUCACCACCCAACUCUUUUUAUUUAUUUAUAUUAAUUGUUCUAUGUUCUGUCCGCCUGUUCUCCCUGUGGACUAAAAAAAAAGGCCCCCAAGAAGAAGAGAAUUUAUAUCUUAUAGCAGUGAUCGUCAAUAACUAUACAUCUACCGAUACGCCCGUCCCUGAUCUAGCCUUUCGUUUUAAUUUCUCUCUCUUUCUUACCCCGCUCUAGCCUGUAAGCUCAGGUUUUACUUGGAAAUCAGGUUCGGGUUCGGAUUCGGGUCCUUCGAGUUACUGACGGAUAAAUGGAAUCAAGCUCUGGCUCCGGCGAGCACAACGUCAGGGGAAUACCUACUUACGGUGGACGCUACGUGCAGUAUAAUGUGUACGGCAACCUCUUUGAAGU